AUCCAACUGAUGAGUCACAGAUAGGACGAAACGCGCAUCCUAGAU
Molecule: non-coding RNA, 45 nt
Organism: Schistosoma rodhaini
Lineage: Eukaryota; Metazoa; Platyhelminthes; Trematoda; Strigeidida; Schistosomatidae
Source: Rfam